AGGGCACCACCAGGAGUGGAGCCUGCGGCUUAAUUUGACUCAACACGGGGAAACUCACCCGGCCCGGACACCGUAAGGAUUGACAGACUGAUAGCUUUUUCAUGAUUCGGUGGAUGGUGGUGCAUGGCCGUUCUUAGUUCGUGGAGCGAUUUGUCUGGUUUAUUCCGAUAACGAGCGAGACUCUAGCCUACUAAAUAGUUCGCACAUUGUCUCUGUGUGUGUGACUUCUUAGAGGGAUUUUCGGUGUUCAGCCGCACGAAAUUGAGCAAUAACAGGUCUGUGAUGCCCUUAGAUGUCCGGGGCUGCACGCGCGCUACACUGGCAAAAUCAGCGUGCUUGUCCUUCCCCGAAAGGGGUUGGUAAACCCUUGAAAAUUUGCCGUGAUUGGGAUUGGAAAUUGCAAUUAUUUUCCAUGAACGAGGAAUUCCAAGUAAGUGCGAGUCAUCAGCUCGCGUUGAUUACGUCCCUGCCCUUUGUACACACCGCCCGUCGCUGCCCGGGACUGAGCCAUUUCGAGAA
This 519-nucleotide ribosomal RNA is filed under the name uncultured eukaryote. RNAcentral describes it as "SSU rRNA". It matches the Rfam family "Eukaryotic small subunit ribosomal RNA", at positions 1161 to 1705 of the family's 1831-position model. The record is from RNAcentral.